GCCAGCAAUGGCACAUGGUCAAAUUACAAACAUACAGAGAAAAUCAGCAUUGCCCCUGCACAAGGAUGACAAUUCGAUUCAAAAGAGAAGCAUGACUUUUUU
This 102-nucleotide small nuclear RNA is filed under the name Coniochaeta ligniaria NRRL 30616. The record is from RNAcentral. Lineage: Eukaryota; Fungi; Ascomycota; Sordariomycetes; Coniochaetales; Coniochaetaceae.